GGGGUUGUGGUUCAGUGGUAGAAUGCACGCCUUGCAUGUGUGAGGCACUGGGUUCAGUCCUCAGCACCA
This 69-nucleotide transfer RNA is filed under the name Ictidomys tridecemlineatus (thirteen-lined ground squirrel). Its description in RNAcentral is "Spermophilus tridecemlineatus (thirteen-lined ground squirrel) tRNA". It matches the Rfam family "tRNA". From Rfam's summary of the family: Transfer RNA (tRNA) molecules are approximately 80 nucleotides in length. Their secondary structure includes four short double-helical elements and three loops (D, anti-codon, and T loops). Further hydrogen bonds mediate the characteristic L-shaped molecular structure. tRNAs have two regions of fundamental functional importance: the anti-codon, which is responsible for specific mRNA codon recognition, and the 3' end, to which the tRNAs corresponding amino acid is attached (by aminoacyl-tRNA synthetases). tRNAs cope with the degeneracy of the genetic code in two manners: having more than one tRNA (with a specific anti-codon) for a particular amino acid; and 'wobble' base-pairing, i.e. permitting non-standard base-pairing at the 3rd anti-codon position. The record is from Rfam by way of RNAcentral. Lineage: Eukaryota; Metazoa; Chordata; Mammalia; Rodentia; Sciuridae.